Molecule: ribosomal RNA, 484 nt
Filed under: uncultured bacterium
Lineage: Bacteria
Description: partial 16S ribosomal RNA
Rfam family: Bacterial small subunit ribosomal RNA
Source: RNAcentral
GAUGAACGCUGGCGGCGUGCUUAACACAUGCAAGUCGAACGAGAAUGGGUUAUAGCUUGCUAUAAUUGUCAGCUAAGUGGCGCACGGGUGAGUAAUGUAUAGGUAAUAUGCCUCUUACUAAGGGAUAACAAAUGGAAACGUUUGCUAAUACCUUAUACUCCUUAUUAACAUAAGUUAAUAAGGGAAAGAUUUAUUGGUAAGAGAUUAGCCUGUAUUGUAUCAGUUAGUUGGUGGGGUAAUGGCUUACCAAGACUAUGACACAUAAAUGGUUUGAGAGGAUGAUCAGUCACACUGGAACUGAGACACGGUCCAGACUCCUACGGGAGGCAGUAGUGGGGAAUAUUGCACAAUGGACGAAAGUCUGAUGCAGCAACGCCGCGUGGAGGAUGACACAUUUCGGUGCGUAAACUCCUUUUAUAUGAGAAGAUAAUGACGGUAUUAUAUGAAUAAGCACCGGCUAACUCCGUGCCAGCCGCCGCGGUAA